UUAGAUGACCAUCAACGAAAA
Molecule: microRNA, 21 nt
Filed under: Populus trichocarpa (black cottonwood)
Lineage: Eukaryota; Viridiplantae; Streptophyta; Magnoliopsida; Malpighiales; Salicaceae
Description: ptc-miR827
Gene: ptc-miR827
Source: miRBase by way of RNAcentral